UGAGGAAUAUUGGUCAAUGGACGUAAGUCUGAACCAGCCAAGUCGCGUGAGGGAAGACUGCCCUAUGGGUUGUAAACCUCUUUUAUAAGGGAAGAAUAAGUUCUACGUGUAGAAUGAUGCCUGUACCUUAUGAAUAAGCAUCGGCUAACUCCGUGCCAGCAGCCGCGGUAAUACGGAGGAUGCGAGCGUUAUCCGGAUUUAUUGGGUUUAAAGGGUGCGUAGGCGGUUUAUUAAGUUAGUGGUUAAAUAUUUGAGCUAAACUCAAUUGUGCCAUUAAUACUGGUAAACUGGAGUACAGACGAGGUAGGCGGAAUAAGUUAAGUAGCGGUGAAAUGCAUAGAUAUAACUUAGAACUCCGAUAGCGAAGGCAGCUUACCAGACUGUAACUGACGCUGAUGCACGAGAGCGUGGGUAGCGAACA
RNAcentral lists this ribosomal RNA (421 nucleotides) under uncultured bacterium. RNAcentral's name for it is "bacterial SSU rRNA". It matches the Rfam family "Bacterial small subunit ribosomal RNA", at positions 355 to 774 of the family's 1533-position model. The record is from RNAcentral.